AGUGAACGCUGGCGGUAGGCCUAACACAUGCAAGUCGAACGGCAGCACAGUAAGAGCUUGCUCUUACGGGUGGCGAGUGGCGGACGGGUGAGGAAUACAUCGGAAUCUACUUUUUCGUGGGGGAUAACGUAGGGAAACUUACGCUAAUACCGCAUACGACCUACGGGUGAAAGCAGGGGAUCUUCGGACCUUGCGCGAUUGAAUGAGCCGAUGUCGGAUUAGCUAGUUGGCGGGGUAAAGGCCCACCAAGGCGACGAUCCGUAGCUGGUCUGAGAGGAUGAUCAGCCACCCUGGAACUGAGACACGGUCCAGACUCCUACGGGAGGCAGCAGUGGGGAAUAUUGGACAAUGGGCGAAAGCCUGAUCCAGCCAUACCGCGUGGGUGAAGAAGGCCUUCGGGUUGUAAAGCCCUUUUGUUGGGAAAGAAAAGCAGCAGGUUAAUACCCCGCUGUUAUGACGGUACCCAAAGAAUAAGCACCGGCUAACUUCGUG
RNAcentral lists this ribosomal RNA (492 nucleotides) under uncultured bacterium. RNAcentral describes it as "partial 16S ribosomal RNA". It matches the Rfam family "Bacterial small subunit ribosomal RNA", at positions 29 to 507 of the family's 1533-position model. The record is from RNAcentral.